AUUAAGGUGGCAGAGCCGGUAAUUGCAUAAAACUUAAGCCUUUAUAACCAGAGGUUCAAGUCCUCUCCUUAAUA
Molecule: transfer RNA, 74 nt
Filed under: Thylogale billardierii (red-bellied pademelon)
Lineage: Eukaryota; Metazoa; Chordata; Mammalia; Diprotodontia; Macropodidae
Description: tRNA-Leu
Rfam family: tRNA
About the family: Transfer RNA (tRNA) molecules are approximately 80 nucleotides in length. Their secondary structure includes four short double-helical elements and three loops (D, anti-codon, and T loops).
Source: RNAcentral